Aethalodelphis obliquidens (Pacific white-sided dolphin) is the source of this 1296-nucleotide long non-coding RNA. RefSeq lists it as uncharacterized. NCBI's taxonomy places the organism in Eukaryota, Metazoa, Chordata, Mammalia, Artiodactyla, Delphinidae. The record is from RefSeq and is a predicted model, not a curated record. The transcript has 2 exons.
GCCCGGGACCGACUCAGCACAAUGGAGGGUUCCACUGCGCAUGAAACACGUGUCCUGCUUUAUGCCUUCAUGACACUUACCGCUCUCAGAAGUUGUCUUGAUAUAUUCGUUUGCCUCCUCCCUCCCAAAUGUAAACGGCAUCGGAGCGGGCUCCACGUCUUGAUCACCACCAUCUCCUCGGUGUGGUUUCCUGUGUUGGAGAAUUGCCUCACGUGUCUGGAGAUUCUCAGAUUUCUGUUCACAGUGAACCACGAGGAUUCCAAAGGCUGACAGGAAGCUCCUGUGUAUGUGCAGGGCUUGCUUACCUGCUAGGCUUCUUUGAAUGGUGAGGGAGUGUCCAGCUGUUAGCAUCUGGAAUUCCUUUCUCUGGGGCUAUUCAGUUUCUCAAAGAAUACCCCAGUCCUCUACAUGGCUAUCAGCCUUCUGGAAGCAAGGCAGACAAAGAAGGCUUGGGUGAAGGGAAAGGCUGAAUCCCAAAUGUGUAGAAUUUUCCUUACUCCUCCUCUCUCCAGCUUCUCGCCUCACCCUCAUUGCUGGGUGUCCUGCGUCUGCUGAAAGGCUGUUUAAUCUUUCCAGAGAAAAGUCCCUAAUUGGUCUCCCCGCUUCUGCCCUUGCCUCCCCUCCAGUCUGUUUUCAACUUAGAGCUGGAAUGGUCCUGUUAAAAUGUGGGUCAGAUCAGGUCAUUCCUCUGCUUAAAAUUCUCCGAUGCUUUUCCAUCUCAACAGAGUUAAAAACUAAAGGUCCCCUGCCCUCCAUGCUUACUUCUUGUCUUAUUACUUUCCCGUUUUCUCUCACCCCAUUCCAGCCAUGCUGGCCGCCUUACUGUCACUAGAACACACCAGGUAGGCUCCAGCCUUACGGCCUCUGCACUUGCUGUUCCAUUUACAUGGAAUGUGCAUUCACAGAUAUUUACAUGGCUUGCUCCCUCGCUCCUUUGGGUCUUCACUCAAAUGUCCCUUCUUAAUACAGCUUUCCCUGGCAGCCCUAACUAAAAUUGCAGCCCCCAGCCCCCAACAUACACACACUAUCUCCUUAUUUUGCUUUACUUUUCCCUUAAGUAUAAUCCCCAUCUGAUACACAAUAGUAUAUAUUUUCCUUCUUUUUGAAGUUGUUAGUUUACCGUCUGUCUAUUGUUGGUUUGCUGUUACUGUCUGUCUGUCUUUCACUAGGAAGUAACCCCCACGAAGGCAGGAAUUCAUUGCUCAAUUCACCAACAUCUAGAACAGGGCCUGGCACCCAAGAGGCAUUUAAUAAAUGUAUGUGAAAGAAAUAAAUAAGAAUAACUAAAUGAAGUGA